UACGUAGGCAGCGAGCGUUGUUCGGAGUUACUGGGCGUAAAGGGUGUGUAGGCGGUUCUCUAAGUUUGGUGUGAAAUCUCCCGGCUCAACCGGGAGGGUGCGCCGAAAACUGGAGGGCUAGAGUGCGGGAAGGGAGAGUAGAAUUCCUGGUGUAGCGGUGAAAUGCGUAGAUAUCGACAAGAACACCGGUGGCGAAGGCGGGUCUCUGGACAGUUCCUGACGCUGAGGGACGAAAGCUAGGGGAGCAAACGGG
Molecule: ribosomal RNA, 253 nt
Filed under: uncultured bacterium
Lineage: Bacteria
Description: partial 16S ribosomal RNA
Rfam family: Bacterial small subunit ribosomal RNA
Source: RNAcentral